RNAcentral lists this long non-coding RNA (6122 nucleotides) under Oreochromis niloticus (Nile tilapia). RNAcentral describes it as "lncRNA (ENSONIG00000035734.1)". Lineage: Eukaryota; Metazoa; Chordata; Actinopteri; Cichliformes; Cichlidae. The record is from RNAcentral.
AUGAUGCAUGCUUCCUGGGCUUUGAAGCGUUUCUUUUUCUCUCUGCCAUCUGCCAUAUUUGGAGCAUUUGUAGCUGGCUACAGCAGAGAAACCAUGCACAGCAGAUUUCCUGUUUAUGAAUUCCACUUUUCUUAUGUUCAGAUAAAUUUUUGUGGAUUAAAAAUGAUUCUGCUUCUGAGUUUUUGGAUUGUUACAGGUCUCACAGCAGCGGACCCAACAGCGACAUAUUAUCGGCUGAAAAACAGCUCAGUGUGUCUGAAUGUCAGGAAACCGCCACCAUAUAGACGUGGUGAAUGGAAAUUUAACACGAUAAUUAUUGCUGAUGAUACAGUAAUCAAUCCAAUAUACAAAGACAGAGUGACUUAUAGUGCUGGGAACCUCUCCUUGUGUAUUAAUAACCUGGCUGAUACAGACGCUGGGAUAUAUGACGUCUCAAUCAGCCAAAACUUUACUUCAGCAUCAGAGAAACAUCAAGUCAUUGUUCAAGAUGUGGUUCCCACACCUGUCAUUAUAAUGUCAAAGCUUGGCUCCAACCAGUCUGCUGGACUCUGCAGUAUCACAGUAAACUGCUCCAUCCAGGAUUAUUGGCUUUGGUCUGUUUGUGAUGAAGACGGCUGCAGACCAUCCCAGAAAUCAUUCAGUGAGGUCAACAUCACCACCUUCACUGAGAACAGUACCGUGGUCUGCAGAGGCAACAACCAUGUUAGCACAAAUCAAGCUUCUGAAAGCUCAACACUGUGUUUCAAUAACACUAAUCCUGAUGAUAGGGGGAAAGCACAACACCCUCCAUCAACGAGAACACUUGCAUUUAUUAUUGUUUGUGUUUUACUCGCCUUCAUCUUUUUAGCAGUUUCUUUCUUUUUAGUUAAAAGAUUAUUUUCAACAAAAUGGAAAUCCUACCAGGCUCCAACAAAUACUAUCCGCUCAAUACAAAGCCAGCCCAUUAAUACUCUGCCAUCAUCUCAGUCGAGAGCCUCUACUGCGUCUUCGUCAAGUGAUGCUGACCCUGCUUAUGAGAACGCAGACGUCCUUCAGUACAGCCAGAGCAGCAGCCCAAGACAGGAAAGCCAUCCAGUAGAUACCAUCUACACUCUUCCAGGAGUGAAAAGCUCUUCUGCUGGCAACAACAUACAAAAUACUGCAGAGACUGCCACAGUAGAAGAGGCACAACAACGGCCCACGCAGAUCGACACAGUUUACAGCGUGUUGCAGAAGCCAAAAAAAUUGAAUGUAUAGCACCACCCAGAGGUCAAACGGGAGUUUUGAACAGUGGGAAACAAAAGAAAACGAGAACAAAAACAGUACAAGAAAAUGAACAUUGUAAAUACCAGACAAAUAUUCCAAACAUGAUUAAAGCUCAAUGUUCAGCAUAGACAAUAAAAUAAAUGUUGGAUCAAUUCAUAGAACUAAUAUAAAAUUAAUCACAGGACUUAUGAUUACUUUUAUAUAAAAAUGAAAUUUCCUCUGCUGAAUAAAUUGGGUGCAUGCUAACAUGCUGAGAUGAAAGACCAAAUGCUGAUCUUCGUUUGGCAGCUUAUUCACUUAUAUUUAUUUGUUAUAAUAGUACUUUAUUUAUAUUAGCAAUGAAAUUUUCUAUCCACCAAAUCAUUUUAUUUGUUUUUUCUUUAAAUGUACAGAAAAUGUAUGAAUUGUGCCCCAUUAAAUGACAUGCUGAUUGGGCAACUAUUGAUGGAUAUUUGCUUAUGUUUGAUUAAACAUGAUUAAGCUGAUAAAUUUAGCAUUUACUCUAGUGCAGGGGUCGGCAACCUUUAACACCCAACGAGCCAUUUGGACACUGGACAAUACUUUUUGACAUCUAAAAUGAAAAUAACACUGUAUAUAUUGUUUUUUUUACCUUUAUGCUUUGUAUAAACAACUAUAGUGUGUUGCUUAUGAAAUCCAUGAAGUUCUACAGAGAAAAUAAAUUUUUUAUUUAUGUAAUGAACACAUUGUGAACAUUGUGAACUCUUAACCCUCUGCAGGGGAGGCGGACACACCUGAGCAACAUCCGCAAUCACGCCUUGCCUUAAAGUCCUUGUCUCUCUGCUGUUCUUUUGGUAGCUGGAAAGCUACAGCUGGCUGUAUGCGUACAGCAACCGUGUGUGAAAAGUUGUCAAUAAAGAGAUGCUGAAAAGCAUGUUCAUGCAAACAUUGUCAGGUUUGCCGCGGUAUGUUUACAAUAGGACUUCUGGUCCUGAACCUCUGCGCAGAGCGUCUGCAAAUCGGGGCUGUACGAAGUCACUGUCAUCUUUACGACUGUAAGUUGUCGUCUGUGAGGCUUGUUUGUUUCAUGUUUGUUUUCUUACAUUACUCCAAACUUGGCCUACCUGGGGCUGAAAGUCUUGAUAAAUGCACAGCGUUUUGGCGGGUAUAUACCGGCUUCGGCGAGUGUGACGCUUAUUUUGAGUGAUGAAAAAUAAUAAAAUUGUCACGGUUGUGGGUCAUUUUGACCCAGCUUUUUCUGUUUCUUAUGUUAUCUUAUUUCUUCUUAUUUUAUUUAUGUUAUCUUUUUCUUAUGUUCUUUUUAUGUUGUCUUAUGUUGUUUCUUAUAUUGGUGUUUUUCUAGAUUAUGACUUAUGUUCUGAUUAGUUAGUGAUACUGUCUAGUCCGUGUCUUAGUUUCCUGUUUUUACUUUGAAGGAUCAUGGUCAUGUGUGAUGUCGGUGUGUUCAGUUUUACACUUCCUUGUCUCGUUAGCCUAAUUUCUCCCAGCUGUCUCCCUCCUGUUUCUCAUUCCCUGAUUACUCCCCUGUGUAUAUAAGGCCUGUGUUUUCCUGUGCUCUCUGUCGUGUUGUACCCUCAUACCUCCCUGUGUGUUCGGUUUGCCUGUCGGCCAGGUUAGUUGCUUUCCAGUUUAGUUAGUUCUUUGUUCUAUCUGUAACCUCACAAUAAAGCCAAGGGUUUUUGAGUUCACCUGUGCCUCUGCGAGUCCUGCUCUUGGGUCCACCUUUUCCUGCCAGCCUUCACACAGCCAUGACAAAAAUAUAAUGUUAUUUUAAUAUAAUACACUUCAACUAAAUACUUUAUAAUUUAUUUUCCCAAGCCAUGGGGAGCCACAGUAUGGAUAAAAGAGCCACAUGCGGCUCCGGAGCCACAGAUUGCUGACCCCUACUCUAGUGGAUUUUAGCAAGGAGAACUAUCACACUUUACAGUACAACAUAGAUUCCCUGCAGGGUUCAGGACAGGUGAGUUGGCUGGCCAAACACAGUAAUAAUAUGAUCAGCAAACCAUUUGUUAGUAGGUCUGGCACUGUGUGCAGGUGCUAAGUACAACUGGAAAAGGAAAUUAGCAUAGCCAUAAAACCAGUAGAUGGUAGACAAGUCAGGUGCAUUGACUCUGGACUUAAUAAAAGACAGUGGGACAAUGACAAGCAGAUGGUAUGGCACCCCAAAUCAACACAUGCAUAAGUGUCACACUGGAUUUCAAUCAUCACAGAUUUUGUGGGUCUCCAGUCAUCCUGCUAAAGUCGCCCUCCAUACUCUAGGGUCUUAAUAUCUUAACUUAUGCAACCAAGGCUCAAGGCUGGUUGGAGAAGCAGCAGGGCAUCACUCAUCCCUGUUACUUGUGCACAUUUUCUUUUUACAAUUUUAUCUUCCAGUCAACAUUUUAUGAAUUGGUACAGUGCUCUGAACACUCAGCCUUUUCAGGAAUAACCUUAUAUGGCAAGCCCUGGUAAGUUUUAUGUCAGGAAGGGCGUUCAAUGGAAAAUCUUUGCCAAAUCAAACCUGCAGAUCAUCAAGAAUGAGAUUUCCUGGACUUGCUGUUAAUAACGACCACCUUCGGUGCAGUUGGCCAACAGGGUUUUGGUGAUAACUGUCCUACUGUUAGGGAAAGAGAAAGGAAAAAAGGAGAAUGUGUUUGGAGGCAGUGAGGCUUUCUUAUAUUUGAUCACAAGGUGUUAAUCCUGUGCCAACAACACCCAGCACAUUAGUCGCUGGUUCUGAAUGUACAGCCGGUCAAAAAAACAAGACAAACUGGAUGGAACUGAAUAGUUCAGUAUUACAGUGACUUUUGCCUCCACUGGACAAACCUGUCCAAAACCAACCUGCUUACCCAGAUAUGUAACUAUUGCUUUACCAAUCUCACAUUUGGCAUAAUUAAGGGUUAACAAGGCCUGAGUUAGCAACUGAAACACUGAUUCUAGGAUGACUAUGCGAUCCGCCCACGCAUCUGUCUAUAUCACCACAUCAUCAGAUACACAUACCAGAUGCAUCAAAUGCUGAAAUGUGGCAGGACAGUUUUUCAUUCCAAAUGCUAUCACAGUGUACUGCAUAAAAUUAUCAGGAGUGACAAAUGCAGAAAUGUUACAGGCUCCGGGGGUCAAGGUAACCUGCCAGUAAUCUCUAGCGGAUCCAACUUAGUGAUAAAUUUGGCAGGACCCAUGCUGUCAAUGCAGUCCUCUAUACGAGGGAGUGGGAAUGAGUCAGAGACAGUUACAGAAAUGACUUUACUAGCUAAUGAUAAGACUUUUUUUUUAUGAAGACUAACAAGUGCCUCACCAGUACCAGGAGGUACUUUAGAUUCAGCAUCUGGCUCAACAAUGCUUGGGAGCUGAUCUAAAACACCUGUCUUGAUGCGUGCUUAAUCAUCCAGGUAAGUAAAUCCCAAAAGAUUGAUUCUGUUCUUCUGGACCUCACAGCCCACUGAAUGAACAAUGGGCUGUGAGGUCAGUUCCUUGAUCAUUAAUAUGCAAAUUGUCAAGACCAUUGAUCAACAACCACUGAUCAAAGGGAAUGUCUGCAAUCACAGCAUUGUAAGAUGGCGAAGAUGGCAAUCCCCAACUUUUUGUGAAUGGCCAUUGAGCAGUUGUUGAUCAGUGGUCACUGAUCUUACAGCCCAUUGUUCACUUAGUGGGCUGGUUUUAGUUAUUGUGCAAAUGUACUGUUUAUAAGGUUGGGGAAACCUGCAGUCAGCUGAGACUGCAAAAGUCACCUGGAUGAGUGAGGCACUGAGGCUAACUGUUUUUGUUUAUAUGCCUCACAAUCUGCUAUUAAACAAACAACAUAUUUUCUGUCUGUCCUAGCAUUGGACACCGGAAACCCUCCCUUUUGGGUAUGUGCAGCUAGCACUGCACUAGCUUUCCCUGCAGAGUCACAUUGGUCAUGCUUAAUAAAAUAGGCCUUUUGGCUCAAAGGUGAACUCAACAGGCAAUGUGGCACCCUGCUGUAGUAAGCAAACCUUUCUUCUCAUUAAGGUACACCACAAUGUGCUCUGGUAAGCAAUUUGUAAAAUCUUUGACAGGCACCAACUCACGCACUGAAGUAAGAUCAGUAGCUUUACACACCAUACACCGUCGAUCAAAAAUGGUACUCUUCUCCCUUGCAAAAUCAAAAUAUGGUUGGGCCUACUCCAACUGUUUUCAACUGAAUCUCCUGUUCCUUUUCAUGCGCCUCCCUGGAGGUAUGCCAGAUGAGGUUUCGGGCUAGGGUCCUGCUUAGAACCAAAUGAGGACUCCAACGACAGCGGAUCAAAGCAAGGCAGCGUGAUUGGCCUGUGCGACAGGUGUUGACACUAACAGUGUUCCAGUCUGAUCUGGCAAUAGCAGAGGUGAGCUAGAAGACUCUGGCAGGGUAUUGAUCCCCCUCUACACUAGACCAGAUACUAGAGUGGACCUUGGAUUUUUCUCCAAGCGUCCAGCUGGACGAGCCAUAGCACCUAUAAUAAAUGUAGCCAUUUCAAGCAGACAAAAAAAAAAAAAAAUCCCUAGCAAAAUAACACGCAACCAAGCGCUGGUUCCCUACAGGUGCUUGUUCAAUAGCCAGAUAUCUAGCUAAACUACUAAAGUAAGGAUAUACCUAACAUGCAAAAAAGACAGAAACAAAUUGACAACUGAUAACACAAUAACACUUAGGCUACGUCCUCACUAGCCUGGAUAGAUUUGAAAAUGGCGUCUUCGUCUGAAAACACUGCGUCCACACUAGCGUUUUCAGUCGUUUUCACAGAGUUGUGCGUCCACAUUGAAACGGCCAAAAACGCUUAUGUUCCAGUACUGCGCAUGCGUGAAAUGCAAGACUAUUCGACCUGCCUCAUUUCUGUCUGCCAUCUAUUUACUUUCCGGCUCUUUGAAACGUCGCGGCAAAAUGUCGAGGAAAAGCACUGAGUUUUUUAAAUGGACUAACAAUG